Molecule: long non-coding RNA, 2871 nt
Filed under: Canis lupus familiaris (dog)
Lineage: Eukaryota; Metazoa; Chordata; Mammalia; Carnivora; Canidae
Description: lncRNA (ENSCAFG00845026399.1)
Source: RNAcentral
GGAAAUGUGACCAGGGAGGCAGAGAUUGGAGUGAUGUCAAAAACCAAGGAAUGCCUGGAAUCACCAAAAGUUUGAAGAAGCAAAGAAAGGAUUCUAUACUAGAACCACUAAUGGAUGCAUGACCCUAUUGAUACCUUGAUUUUGGCCUAAAAAUCAAAACUUAUUUUUGGAUGUCUGGCCCCCAGAACUAUGAGAGAACAAUUUUUGUUGUUUUAUUCCAAGCAGUUGUGGUUAUAGCAGUUCUAAGAAACUCUAAUUCACUUAGUUCAUAGAUUGAUUGAAUCUUUUUUUCCCCCUAAAAUUCAUUAUGUUAAAUUAAUUAUUAACUCAAAUGUGAUGGUAUAUGGAGGUGGGACCUUUGGGAGGUAAUUAGGUUUGGAUGAAGUCAUGAAGAUAGAGCCCAUAUGAUAGAACUAGUGUCUUUGUACGCAAAGGUCAGGUGGCUAUCUACAAACCAGGAAGUGGGCCUUCAUUGGACACCAGAUCUGCUGGCAAUUUGAUCUUAGACUUCCUAGACUCCAGAACUGGGAGAAAUAAAUGUUUUCUAAGCCAUCCAGUCUAUACUAUUUUAUUGUAACAGCUCAAACUGACGGAGACACUUGGAAAUGAAACAAAUGCAAAAAUAAAAUGUAAAUAUAAGAUUAGUCAGCCAUAUAAGAAAAUAUUUUACAGAGAUUGACUACUUUUAAAAAGAAAAUACUGUAUUUAGUGAUGGUGAUAAGAAUGGUAUCAUCAUACAUUGCUGUGAAAGUGAAGAAAAUUUGGCAAGGUGGAACAAAAUUAUGGAGCCAUUAGAAACUAUUUUCGAAGAAUAAGGUAAAAACAUGAUUACCAUAUAAUACUAAGUAAAAACAGGAUUUAAAAUUUCAUUUAUAUUAAGGGGGCUCCCCUAAGUUCUUAAGAUCUCCUUAUAUAUUUUGGAUAUUAAGCUCGUAUCAAAUAUAUGGUUUACAGAUAUUUUUUUCCCAUUCUGUAGGUUGCCUUUCACCCUGUUGGUGUUUUCCUUUAUUGUUCAGAAGAUUUUUAGUUUGGUAUACUCCUAUGUGUCUGUUUUUACUUUUGUUGCCUGUAAUUUUGAUGUCAUAUCCAAGAAGUUAUUGCCAAGCCUAAUAUCAGACUUCUUCCUUAGGUUAUCUUUCAGGAGUUGUAACAGUUUUAGGUCUUAUAUCUUUAAUAUGUUUUGAGUUGAUUAUUCCAUAUGGCAUGAGAUAAGGGUCCAGUUUUAUUUGUUUUCAUGUAGACAUAUUUUGAAAUCAUAGAGUGAUAACUUCAAUUCUAUUCUUCUUUCUUAAGAUUUUUUUUUUAUAUCUGUGGUCAUUUCUGGUUCCAUGUGAAUUUUAGGAUUGUUUUACUAUUCCAAGACUAUGUUGAAUAGAAGUGGCAAGAGUAAGAAUCCUUGCCUUGUUCCUGAUUUUAGAGGAAAAGCUUUCAACUUCUUACUGUUGAGGAUGAUGUUAGAUACGGCUUUUUAUAUAUGGCCUUUAUAAGUUGAGGUAAUUCCCUUUGAUAUCUAUGGUGAGAGUUUUUAUAUGAAAUAGUGUCAAAUUUUAUCAAGUGCUUUUUUUUGCAUCUGUUGAGAUGAUCACAUGAUUUUUAUCGUUCACUCUUAAUAUGGGAUGUCCUUAGUAAUUGAUUUUUGUAUUAUGAGCCAUCUUUGCAUUCCAGGGGUAAAUCCUACUUGGUCAUAGUGUAUGAUCCUUUUAAUGUGCUUUUAAAUUUGGUUUGCUAGUAUGUUGUUGAAGAUAUUUGCAUCUGUGUUCAUUAAGGGAUAUUGGCCAUAAUUUUCUUGUACUGACUUUGUCCCACUUGGUUAUCAGGGUAAUGCUGUCCUCAUAAAUUGAGUUUGGAUGUAUUUGCUCCUCCUCAGUUUUUUGAAAGAGUUUGAGAAGGAUUGGCACUAAUUCUUCUUUAAGUAUUUGGUAGAAUGACACCAAUCAAACCAUCCGGUCCUCGGGUUUUUGUCGUCAGAAGAUUCCUGAUUCCUGAAUUAAUCUCCUUACUCAUUAUUGAUCUGUUUGUAUUUUCUAUUUCUUCUCAUGAUUCAGUUUGUAUGUUUCUAGGAAUUUAUCUACUUCUUCUAAAUUGUCCAAUUUGUUACUCUAUAAUUUGUUUAUAGUAGUCUUUCAUCCUUCGUAUUUUCUUUGGUAUCAGUUGUAAUGUCUCUUUAAUAUCUAUUAUCUAUUAAAUAUUUAUUUAUUUGAGUCUAAUCUCUUGCUUAGUCUAGCAAAAAAAAGUCAAUUUUGUUAAUCUAAAAAUAUUUUGAUUUUUAAAAAUUUUCUGUUCUCUAUUUCCUUUAUUUCUGGUUUAAUGUUUAUUAUUCCCUUCCUUUGCUAAUUUUACACAUAGGGUUGUUGAGCUAAUUCCUUGAGAUAUAAAGUUAGGUUGUUUAUUUGAAAUCUUUUUCUUUAAUGUGGGUGUUCUUUGCUUGUACUGCUUUUGUUGUAUCCAUAAAUCUUGAUAUAUUGUAUUUUCAUUUGUCUCAACAUAUUUUCUCAUUUCUUUUUUGCUUUUUGACCCACUGGUUAUUCAAGAGUGUUCUCUUUAAUUUUCAUGAAUUUGUGGAUUUUCCAGUUUUUCCUUUGCUUUUGGUAUCUAAUAGCAUUGCGUUGUGGUUAGAAAAGAUACUUAUUACGAUUUUAUUCUUAAAUUUGCUAACUUUUGGGGAUCCCUGGGUGGCGCAGCAGUUUGGCGCCUGCCUUUGGCCCAGGGCGCGAUCCUGGAGACCCGGGAUCGAAUCCCACGUCGGGCUCCCGGUGCGUGGAGCCUGCGUCUCCCUCUGCCUGUGUCUCUGCCUCUCUCUCUCUUUCUCUCUGUGUGUGUGACUAUCAUAAAUAAAUAAAAAUUUAAAAAAUAAUAAAAAUAAAAAAAAAA